UUUGGGGGAUAUAAGCUUCAUUUUUAUUUUUAUAUAAUGCGUCAUAGACACCUAGUUUAUUUUAUUUUAUUUUUACUUACUUAAACUAAGCGAUUGAAACCACAGGCAACUUCCAAAUAAUUGGCAUUUUGAAAAUAAAAAUUCUCAAUAAAGUUUAACUAUGUCAGCUUGGAGAGGUUAGACCACUCAUGGACCAUGCAGAACAUUUCACACUCCUUUAUGUUCUUUGUGCACAUAGAGUGCAUUUCUCAAUUUCUUCACUUUGUAAACUGUUGUAUAUAAGCAAUAUAAAUAGAAAAUGUAUACAAAAUCAAAGAGAAAUAUGAUUCUCUAAUGCAAUAUUACUUAAAACCUACAAACAUGAGUUAGUUUUAAUCCAAAUAUUUAAAUGAGUAUCGACUGAAAUAUUUUUAAAACUAUAACAUUUGCACAUUGAGAUUAUUCAGCAUUAAGCCUUGCUCUGGCCAUAUCACUAUAGCGCUACUGUUUGUCCCACCAUGACCAGGCAAAGCAAAAUGUUAUGGAUUGGUCAUCAACAACAUACAGCCUGGACCCCCUCUGAAGAGUUUUCGCUAGGAGUUGUUGAAUAUUAAAACUCUAUCACGAGAAACCAGUAGUUUUAAUAUGAAAGGAUCCUGGAAAAGAGCUUCCUUAAAAAAAAAGUAGAGUCUUUAGUUGGUGCAGGAGUGUGCGGUUUUUAGGUCUUCAAAGGAGAACAGAAAAAGGUGCUUGUGCAUUCCUGCUAUCACCACCAGGCUCCACAAAAGCUUUUUCUCUGAGGCACUGAGAGAACUCAACACAUUGCUGGACUAGUCAAUCCCUCCCAACACCCACCAUAGUUUACAGAUAAUUGUUUGCACUAGGUUUUACACAUCACUAUGCUAUUGUCCUGUCCAGUUAAGGUGCACUGCUCUGUGGAUUUAAUGUGCUGUGUAUUUAUUGUAUUUUUUGCUCUCUUCUUAUACUGUCACGUAUCUGCACUUUAUACUGUAUAUUGUAUUUAUACUGUAUAAUACUGUAUUAUUUUAUUUUUUUUUAAAAAAAGAAGAAAAGGUUACUCGACUAGGUGGCACCUCAUAACUGGAACAUCUGCCACUCAGUCCUGCAAAGCUAUAAAGGAAGUGUUUGACAUGAUUUUUGUCCCUGGAGAUGGUGUCUGCAGAUCGCAUUUUGGGACGUCUCAAACUGUGGGGAUCUCGUGUGGUGGAACGGUACGAAUAAACCUGGACCCUUGCUUCUUCUCACUCACGGCUGG
Ictalurus punctatus (channel catfish) is the source of this 1255-nucleotide long non-coding RNA. The record is from Ensembl. NCBI's taxonomy places the organism in Eukaryota, Metazoa, Chordata, Actinopteri, Siluriformes, Ictaluridae.